ACUCCCUUAGUAUUAAUUAGUACAGCUGACUUCCAAUCAACUAGAUUUGGUAUAAACCCAAAAGAGAGUA
RNAcentral lists this transfer RNA (70 nucleotides) under Castor fiber subsp. birulai. RNAcentral's name for it is "tRNA-Gly". The record is from RNAcentral. Lineage: Eukaryota; Metazoa; Chordata; Mammalia; Rodentia; Castoridae.